Molecule: ribosomal RNA, 492 nt
Filed under: uncultured bacterium
Lineage: Bacteria
Description: partial 16S ribosomal RNA
Rfam family: Bacterial small subunit ribosomal RNA
Source: RNAcentral
AGUGAACGCUGGCGGUAGGCCUAACACAUGCAAGUCGAACGGCAGCACAGUAAUAGCUUGCUCUUACGGGUGGCGAGUGGCGGACGGGUGAGGAAUACAUCGGAAUCUACUUUUUCGUGGGGGAUAACGUAGGGAAACUUACGCUAAUACCGCAUACGACCUACGGUUGAAAGCAUGGGAUCUUCGGACCUUUCGCGAUUGAAUGAGCCGAUGUCGGAUUAGCUAGUUGGCGGGGUAAAGGCCCACCAAGGCGACGAUCCGUAGCUGGUCUGAGAGGAUGAUCAGCCACACUGGAACUGAGACACGGUCCAGACUCCUACGGGAGGCAGCAGUGGGGAAUAUUGGACAAUGGGCGCAAGCCUGAUCCAGCCAUACCGCGUGGGUGAAGAAGGCCUUCGGGUUGUAAAGCCCUUUUGUUGGGAAAGAAAAGCAGCAGGUUAAUACCCCGCUGUUCUGACGGUACCCAAAGAAUAAGCACCGGCUAACUUCGUG